GACGAACGCUGGCGGCGUGCUUAACACAUGCAAGUCGAACGGAAAGGCCUCUUUCGGGGGGUACUCGAGUGGCGAACGGGUGAGUAACACGUGAGUAACCUGCCCUUGACUUUGGGAUAACUUCAGGAAACUGGGGCUAAUACCGGAUAGGAGCUCCUGCUGCAUGGUGGGGGUUGGAAAGUUUCGGCGGUUGGGGAUGGACUCGCGGCUUAUCAGCUUGUUGGUGGGGUAGUGGCUUACCAAGGCUUUGACGGGUAGCCGGCCUGAGAGGGUGACCGGCCAAAUUGGGACUGAGAUAGGGCCCAGACUCCUACGGGGGGGAGAAGGGGGGAAUUUUGCAAAAGGGGGGGAAGCCGGAUGCAGACACCCCUGGGGCGGGAUGACGGCCUUCGGGUUUUAAACCGUUUUCACCCAUGAAGAAGCUUUGUGGGGGGGUAGGGGGAAAAGAAGCACCGGUAAACUACGU
Molecule: ribosomal RNA, 466 nt
Filed under: uncultured bacterium
Lineage: Bacteria
Description: partial 16S ribosomal RNA
Rfam family: Bacterial small subunit ribosomal RNA
Source: RNAcentral